AGAGUUUGAUCAUGGCUCAGGAUGAACGUUGGCGGCGUGCCUAACACAUGCAAGUCGAACGAGCAGCCGGAUUCUUCGGAAACCGGUGGGCGAGUGGCGCACGGGUGAGUAACACGUGGAUGAUCAGCCCCGAAGCGGGGGAUAACUGCUGGAAACGGCAGCUAAUACCGCAUGUGCUUGCCGGAUCGUUAUGGUCUGGUAAGUAAAGCUCCGGCGCUUCGGGAGGAGUCCGCGGCCGAUUAGCUAGUUGGUGGGGUAAUGGCCCACCAAGGCGAUGAUCGGUAGGGGGCGUGAGAGCGUGACCCCCCACACUGGAACUGAGACACGGUCCAGACUCCUACGGGAGGCAGCAGUGAGGAAUAUUGCACAAUGGGCGAAAGCCUGAUGCAGCAACGCCGCGUGGGGGACGAAGGCCUUCGGGUUGUAAACCCCUUUUCUGCGGGAAGAGAAAGGACGGUACCGCAGGAAUAAGUCACGGCUAACUACGUGCCAGCAGCCGCGGUAAAACGUAGGUGGCGAACGUUAUCCGGAUUUACUGGGCGUAAAGCGCUCGCAGGCGGCUUCGUAAGUCUGACGUGAAAGCCCCCGGCUUAACUGGGGGAGGUCGUUGGAUACUGCGGAGCUUGAGGACGGAAGARGAGAGUGGAAUUCCCGGUGUAGCGGUGGAAUGCGUAGAUAUCGGGAGGAACUCCAGUGGCGAAGGCGACUCUCUGGUCCGUUCCUGACGCUCAGGAGCGAAAGCGUGGGGAGCGAACAGGAUUAGAUACCCUGGUAGUCCACGCUGUUAACGAUGUGAACUAGGUGUCGGCGCUGUUAUGGCGUCGGUGCCGUAGCUAACGCGUUAAAGUUCACCGCCUGGGGACUACGGCCGCAAGGCUAAAACUCAAAGGAAUUGACGGGGGCCCGCACAAGCAGCGGAGCGUGUGGUUUAAUUCGAUGCAACGC
Molecule: ribosomal RNA, 945 nt
Filed under: uncultured bacterium
Lineage: Bacteria
Description: bacterial SSU rRNA
Rfam family: Bacterial small subunit ribosomal RNA
Source: RNAcentral